RNAcentral lists this transfer RNA (76 nucleotides) under Curtobacterium sp. 'Ferrero'. RNAcentral describes it as "tRNA-Val". It matches the Rfam family "tRNA". From Rfam's summary of the family: Transfer RNA (tRNA) molecules are approximately 80 nucleotides in length. Lineage: Bacteria; Bacillati; Actinomycetota; Actinomycetes; Micrococcales; Microbacteriaceae. The record is from RNAcentral.
GGGCUCUUAGCUCAGUUGGUAGAGCGCUUCGUUUACACCGAAGACGUCGGCGGUUCGAGUCCGUCAGGGCCCACCC